Equus caballus (horse) is the source of this 567-nucleotide non-coding RNA. The record is from the annotation of a RefSeq genome assembly. NCBI's taxonomy places the organism in Eukaryota, Metazoa, Chordata, Mammalia, Perissodactyla, Equidae.
GCUGACAAGGUCCUGGUGGCAACACAGUGGUAGCUGCACUCCUUGCAAGUCCCUACUAGCGUCUGUUGCUUCUGUUCUCUGGAACAUCUUUGAGCCUAGGAUCAGACACAAAGACUGAGCUCUGGGCCCAUGAUCCUAGUUUCUCUUUGAAGUAUGAGGCUGGUGACUGGAGUAACUGUUUUUCUUACCUUGGGGACUGUGACUGAUGCUAAGACCAUUCAGCCCAACUCCAUGGAUUGUGCUGAAGGAGAAGAUGCAAACUUACCUUGUAACCAUUCUACCAUCAGUGGAUAUGAUUAUAUACAUUGGUAUCGGCAAAAUUCCAACAAGAGUCCACAGUAUAUAAUUCACAGCUUACGAGACAAUGUGACCAACAACAUCGCCUCUCUGACCAUCGCAACAGACAGAAGGUCCAGCACUUUGAUCCUGCCCCAGGUCACUCUGAGAGACACUGCUGUGUACUACUGCAUGCUGAGAGAGGCACGUUGGGACAGAUGGGGCUGCACCUGUGCAAUAUCUCUCUGGAGAUGGGGUGAUGGGAGGCAGCAGCCAUCAGAGCAAAUCUAA